RNAcentral lists this non-coding RNA (29 nucleotides) under Homo sapiens (human). The record is from RNAcentral. Lineage: Eukaryota; Metazoa; Chordata; Mammalia; Primates; Hominidae.
UAACGAGUAAAUCUCAGGUCACUACCCCA